Molecule: ribosomal RNA, 468 nt
Filed under: uncultured bacterium
Lineage: Bacteria
Description: partial 16S ribosomal RNA
Rfam family: Bacterial small subunit ribosomal RNA
Source: RNAcentral
GACGAACGCUGGCGGCGUGCUUAACACAUGCAAGUCGAACGGAAAGGCCCUGCUUUUGUGGGGUGCUCGAGUGGCGAACGGGUGAGUAACACGUGAGUAACCUGCCCUUGACUUUGGGAUAACUUCAGGAAACUGGGGCUAAUACCGGAUAUGAGCUCCUGCUGCAUGGUGGGGGUUGGAAAGUUUCGGCGGUUGGGGAUGGACUCGCAGCUUAUCAGCUUGUUGGUGGGGUAGUGGCUUACCAAGGCUUUGACGGGUAGCCGGCCUGAGAGGGUGACCGGCCACAAUGGGACUGAGAUACGGCCCAGACUCCUACGGGAGGCAGCAGGGGGGAAUAUUGCACAAUGGGCGGAAGCCUGAGGCAGCAACGCCGCGUGCGGGAUGACGGCCUUUGGGUUGUAAACCGCUUUCGCCUGUGACGAAGCGUGAGUGACGGUAAUGGGUAAAGAAGCACCGGCUAACUACGUG